GAGUUUGAUCCUGGCUCAGAUUGAACGCUGGCGGUAUGCUUUACACAUGCAAGUCGAACGGCAGCACGGGGCAACCUGGUGGCGAGUGGCGAACGGGUGAGUAACAUAUCGGAACAUGUCCGGAAGUGGGGGAUAACGUAGCGAAAGUUACGCUAAUACCGCAUAUGCCCCGAGGGGGAAAGGGGGGGAUCGCAAGACCUCUCGCUUUCGGAGUGGCCGAUAUCGGAUUAGCUAGUAGGCGAGGUAAAGGCUCACCUAGGCGACGAUCCGUAGCUGGUCUGAGAGGACGACCAGCCACACUGGAACUGAGACACGGUCCAGACUCCUACGGGAGGCAGCAGUGGGGAAUUUUGGACAAUGGGGGCAACCCUGAUCCAGCCAUACCGCGUGAGUGAAGAAGGCCUUCGGGUUGUAAAGCUCUUUCGGCAGGAAAGAAAUCGUGCAGGCUAAUAUCCUGUAUGGAUGACGGUACCUGAAGAAGAAGCACCGGCUAACUACGUGCCAGCAGCCGCGGUAAUACGUAGGGUGCGAGCGUUAAUCGGAAUUACUGGGCGUAAAGCGUGCGCAGGCGGUUCCGUAAGACAGAUGUGAAAUCCCCGGGCUUAACCUGGGAACUGCAUUUGUGACUGCGAGACUAGAGUGUAGCAGAGGGGGGUAGAAUUCCACGUGUAGCAGUGAAAUGCGUAGAUAUGUGGAGGAAUACCGAUGGCGAAGGCAGCCCCCUGGGCUAACACUGACGCUCAUGCACGAAAGCGUGGGGAGCAAACAGGAAUUAGAUACCCUGGUAGUCCACGCCCUAAACGAUGUCAACUAGGUGUUGGGGAAGGAGACUUCUUUAGUACCGCAGCUAACGCGUGAAGUUGACCGCCUGGGGAGUACGGUCGCAAGAUUAAAACUCAAAGGAAUUGACGGGGACCCGCACAAGCGGUGGAUUAUGUGGAUUAAUUCGAUGCAACGCGAAAAACCUUACCUACCCUUGACAUGCCGAGAAUCCCGAAGAGAUUUGGGAGUGCCCGAAAGGGAACUUGGACACAGGUGCUGCAUGGCUGUCGUCAGCUCGUGUCGUGAGAUGUUGGGUUAAGUCCCGCAACGAGCGCAACCCUUGUCAUUAAUUGCCAUCAUUUAGUUGGGCACUUUAAUGAGACUGCCGGUGAUAAACCGGAGGAAGGUGGGGAUGACGUCAAGUCCUCAUGGCCCUUACGCGCUGGGCUACACACGUGCUACAAUGGCGACUACAGUGGGCUGCAAUCCCGCGAGGGUGAGCUAAUCUCCAAAAGUCGUCUCAGUUCGGAUUGUUCUCUGCAACUCGAGAGCAUGAAGGCGGAAUCGCUAGUAAUCGCGGAUCAGCAUGCCGCGGUGAAUACGUUCCCAGGCCUUGUACACACCGCCCGUCACACCAUGGGAGUUGGAUUCACCCGAAGGCGUUGCGCUAACUCGCAAGAGAGGCAGGCGACCACGGUGGGUUUAGCGACUGGGGUGAAGUCGUAACAAGGUAGCCGUA
Molecule: ribosomal RNA, 1501 nt
Filed under: uncultured bacterium
Lineage: Bacteria
Description: partial 16S ribosomal RNA
Rfam family: Bacterial small subunit ribosomal RNA
Source: RNAcentral